Molecule: ribosomal RNA, 395 nt
Filed under: Crepidotus variabilis
Lineage: Eukaryota; Fungi; Basidiomycota; Agaricomycetes; Agaricales; Crepidotaceae
Description: LSU rRNA
Rfam family: Bacterial large subunit ribosomal RNA
Source: RNAcentral
GGCAAAUUAUCCUCAUAAGUUUGACGAUAAGAGGUGCCUUUUGUUAAUUAAUAAUGAAAGGUGGCACAGAAUCGGAGGCCCCGACUGUUUACUAAAAACACAACACAGUGCAAUCAUAAUAAUGGUAGUAUACUGUGUGAAAUUUGCCCGAUGCCAUUAAUAUAAGAAAAGUUAUGGUUUUGUUUAAUUACAGAACUGUGACCUAUCGAAAAUCUGGUUAAUAGCGGUCUUAACUAUGAGGAUCCUAAGGUAGCAAAAUCAGUUGGCCAUUAAAUGUGGUCCGGUAUCAAUAAUGUAACGAUGGUCUCACUGUCUCUACAACUUGCUCAGUGAAAUUGAAUUACGCGUGCAGAUGCGCGUUGCCUCCAGGGGGACGGGAAGACCCUAUGCAGCUU